This is a long non-coding RNA of Osmerus eperlanus (European smelt), 721 nucleotides long. RefSeq lists it as uncharacterized. The record is from RefSeq and is a predicted model, not a curated record. NCBI's taxonomy places the organism in Eukaryota, Metazoa, Chordata, Actinopteri, Osmeriformes, Osmeridae. The transcript is spliced from 2 exons.
UUUGAAUCAACACAUGAAGCACCAGCUAUACACUGAUAGUAUACUAUAAAUAAUACACUCUUCACAGAAAUCACCUGACAUGUAGCCUACAGGUAUAUUGCCCAAACUCCAAAAGGAAUUUGAACCUCCCUAGAACUUGGACUUCCCUGUUACAGUAAUUUCAGCAUGUAAGCGAUCGGAAAAGAAUAAAUAAUAAUUAGUCACUCUUCAUUGAAAUCACGUGACAUAUAAAGGUAUCUCUGGGACUUUCCUAGAACUUGGUCUUCCCCUGCGAUAUAUAAGAAUCAGACACAACAGAAACAGAAAGAGAAUGUCAAAGCUCUGAGGAGAACACGCAGAAAGCAGACAUUACAAUGGCAACAGCAUGCAUCCCAAAGGGCAAACAAGAAAUAUUCCAAAACUGUCCAAAAGGAGAUCCAGCACCUCCUGCUCCAUAUGAUUCAAGGUUCAUCAACACAACUCACACUUCUCUGAAUGUUGUCAACAACCCUGAUCCCAUUGACACCACUGAUCUCCGUAUGAAGGUUGUUAAUGGCUCAACUGGAAAAAGCACCUCACUGACCCUCAAGAGCACUGACACUAUUGGCAAACUCAAGCAGAUGUUCCUGGAGAAGAGACCUGGCAUGCUGGAAAGCCCGAACCUUGUCUUCCAUGGCAAGCCCGUUGAGGACAGCCAGUGCCUGGGGGUACUGGGGGUGAAGGCUGGGGCCACCUUCAUCAC